RNAcentral lists this long non-coding RNA (206 nucleotides) under Homo sapiens (human). RNAcentral describes it as "HSALNT0265696". Lineage: Eukaryota; Metazoa; Chordata; Mammalia; Primates; Hominidae. The record is from RNAcentral.
GAGGAGAGUGUCGGUGGGAGAUAGAUGCUUCAUCUUGAGGCCUGUAGCAUGAGCCCAGAGAGGGAUGGAGGGAAUCUCAAGGCUGAAAUCUGAAAGUAAAUUCUAGGGGAAUCACAGAGCCGUCUUGGGUGUUCAGCCUGGUGGUGCCUCCAGACAACUCCAGCUCCAGACACCAUCUGAUGGAGAUCUCCUGAGAGCCCGUGAGU